RNAcentral lists this ribosomal RNA (422 nucleotides) under uncultured archaeon. RNAcentral describes it as "partial 16S ribosomal RNA". It matches the Rfam family "Archaeal small subunit ribosomal RNA", at positions 323 to 746 of the family's 1478-position model. The record is from RNAcentral.
CUACGGGAUGCUCCAGACGAGAAAACUUUGCAAUGUGCGAAAGCACGACAAGGUUAAUCCGAGUGGCUUCUGCUAAAGGAACCUUUUGACAGUCCUAGAAACACUGUUGAAUAAGGGGUGGGCAAGUUCUGGUGUCAGCCGCCGCGGUAAAACCAGCACCUCAAGUGGUCAGGAUGAUUAUUGGGCCUAAAGCAUCCGUAGCCGGCUCUGUAAGUUUUCGGUUAAAUCUGUACGCUCAACGUACAGGCUGCCGGGAAUACUGCAGAGCUAGGGAGUGGGAGAGGUAGACGGUACUCGGUAGGAAGGGGUAAAAUCCUUUGAUCUAUUGAUGACCACCUGUGGCGAAGGCGGUCUACCAGAACACGUCCGACGGUGAGGGAUGAAAGCUGGGGGAGCAAACCGGAUUAGAUACCCCUGUAGUC